ACAACCCUCGCACUAACCCGCCGCCGUCGUGUGAGGAGGUGUGGAUCACGGUGAUGUCACAUUGCUCGUGUUGGGAUGUCCGUCACCCUGCAGAGUGAGGGCCGUUUCCCACUCACUGCGGUGCGGGACCCUCAAACAAGGGGCCCCCGCCAGGGCGCAGGCCUGACCCAGGGCUGGAAAGCGAGGGCCACGCCCACUGCCGGCCCGGCGGCCCAGGGCGCGGUGGGCGUCGCAACAGGACUGAGCCUGCGCAGCAGGUGCUCAUAGCCGUUUGCCGAGUGAAAGAAGAAACAGACGUCUAUGGCCUUGGGACAGGUGCGCGCCUCCUCCACCGCCCCCCAGAGGGGCGUCCAAGACUCCUUUUUCAGUUGAUCGGGACAUGUACUCACCUCCAGAGUGACCUAUGGAAGGUGCGACCCAGGAGGGCCUCACCCGGCACCCUCCUCCUUCCCUCCGCGGACAACAGCCUCGUUCUGUGGCCAGGCGUGUCGCUGCCUCAGUUUCCCCAGCUUGAGUGGGAGGAGGGCGCUGGAGGAGAGGGACAGAGCGCUACAAGUCAGUGUGGCCGGGCCAAGGAAAGGCCAGGCUGCUCUGCUCCUGGUUCCAGAGCUCGCAUCUCCUCCUGGGCCCGCGGAACGAAUCCCCAGGCUCCCCGGCCUGCUCCCGCCAUCCCUGCUGUCUCCCUGUCCCUGACACUCCCCCUCGGGGUGACUCAUUUCCUGUGCACCCCAUCCCAUCCUGCCCCAGAACACGGACACCCGAGGACAGGCCUUCGCCCAGCAGCCUCAGGGUCUAGGCCGGGGCCAGGGGCACGGCGCGCUGGACACACACCCUCCGCGGGCACAGCAUGCGCGCCCCUGUGCACAUCCCCAAGGACCUGGAAAGCGGUGGCUGCUGUCAAAUGCUGGAGGAGGAAAUCUGACGCAGGAGAGGAGGAUGUGCCCAGCAGGGGGGAGUUUUUCUAUCCUGGGAACCUCUGUGGGCCUCUCCUGCUGGAACCUACUGGGUUCCCCGCCGUUAACCCUCACAGCGCCUCAGGAGGAGUGUUUUUUAUUAUAGGGAAGGACAUUAGGCUCAGAGAGGUAAAUACACUUGUCCAAGGUCACACAGCAGUAAGUGCAGGAUCCAGAGUUCUAACCCUUGCCUGGCUCCGGAGCCUGACUUCUUGCUGUUAA
This 1175-nucleotide long non-coding RNA is filed under the name Chinchilla lanigera (long-tailed chinchilla). RNAcentral's name for it is "lncRNA (ENSCLAG00000028490.1)". Lineage: Eukaryota; Metazoa; Chordata; Mammalia; Rodentia; Chinchillidae. The record is from RNAcentral.